This 469-nucleotide ribosomal RNA is filed under the name uncultured bacterium. RNAcentral's name for it is "partial 16S ribosomal RNA". It matches the Rfam family "Bacterial small subunit ribosomal RNA", at positions 28 to 507 of the family's 1533-position model. The record is from RNAcentral.
GACGAACGCUGGCGGCGUGCUUAACACAUGCAAGUCGAACGGAAAGGCCCUGCUUGCAGGGUGCUCGAGUGGCGAACGGGUGAGUAACACGUGGGUGAUCUGCCCCUUACUUUGGGAUAAGCCUGGGAAACUGGGUCUAAUACUGGAUAGGACCAUGCUGUAGGUGGUGUGGUGGAAAGAUUAGUUUCGGUAAGGGAUGAGCUCGCGGCCUAUCAGCUUGUUGGUGGGGUAAUGGCCUACCAAGGCGUCGACGGGUAGCCGGCCUGAGAGGGUGGACGGCCACAUUGGGACUGAGAGACGGCGCAAACUCCUACGGGAGGCAGCAGUGGGGAAUAGUGCACAAUGGGCGCAAGCCUGAUGCAGCGACGCCGCGUGGGGGAUGAAGGCCUUCGGGUUGUAAACUCCUUUCAGCCAUGACGAAGCCCUGGUGGUGACGGUAGUGGUAGAAGAAGCACCGGCUAACUACGUG